AUCAGUAGCUCAGCUGGAUAGAGCAACAGCCUUCUAAGCUGUGGGUCAAGGGUUCGAAUCCCUUCUGAU
Molecule: transfer RNA, 69 nt
Filed under: pig gut metagenome
Rfam family: tRNA
About the family: Transfer RNA (tRNA) molecules are approximately 80 nucleotides in length.
Source: RNAcentral